CGAUUAGCAGUAGGGAAUAUUGGUCAAUGGAUGGAAGUCUGAACCAGCCAUGCCGCGUGCAGGAAGAAGGCCUUCUGGGUUGUAAACUGCUUUUGCCAGGGGAUAAAAAUACCUUGCGAGGUAAAUUGAAGGUACCUGGUGAAUAAGCCACGGCUAACUACGUGCCAGCAGCCGCGGUAAUACGUAGGUGGCAAGCGUUGUCCGGAUUUAUUGGGUUUAAAGGGUGCGUAGGCGGCCCUGUAAGUCAGUGCUGAAAUAUCCCAGCUUAACUGGGAGGGUGGCAUUGAUACUGCGGGGCUAGAGUACAGAUGAGGU
Molecule: ribosomal RNA, 315 nt
Filed under: uncultured bacterium
Lineage: Bacteria
Description: bacterial SSU rRNA
Rfam family: Bacterial small subunit ribosomal RNA
Source: RNAcentral